RNAcentral lists this small nuclear RNA (107 nucleotides) under Marmota marmota marmota (Alpine marmot). The record is from RNAcentral. Lineage: Eukaryota; Metazoa; Chordata; Mammalia; Rodentia; Sciuridae.
AUGCUCACUUCAGCAGCACCUAAAUGGUAAAAUUAGAACAAUACAGAGAUUAGCACAGGCCCCUGUGAGAGGAUAAAAUGCAAAUUCAUGAAGUGUUGCAUAUUUAA